ACAAACGCUGGCGGCGUGCCUAAAACAUGCAAGUCGAACGAUCCGUUUCGGCGGAGAGUGGCGGACGGCUGAGUAACACGUAGGUAACCUACCCUUGAGUGGGGAAUAGCCCUCCGAAAGGAGGGAUAAUACCGCAUACGAUCGUCAUUCUUCGGGGUGGCGAGGAAAGCCGAAAGGCGCUCGAGGAUGGGCCUGCGGCCGAUUAGCUUGUUGGUGGGGUAACGGCCCACCAAGGCUGCGAUCGGUAGCUGGUCUAAGAGGAUGAUCAGCCAGACUGGGACUGCGACACGGCCCAGACUCCUACGGGAGGCAGCAGUUAGGAAUUUUGGGCAAUGGGCGAAAGCCUGACCCAGCAACGCCGCGUGGGUGACGAAGGCCUUCGGGUCGUAAAGCCCUUUUGCACGGGAAGAUGAUGACGGUACCGUGCGAAUAAGCCCCGGCUAACUACGU
This 450-nucleotide ribosomal RNA is filed under the name uncultured bacterium. Its description in RNAcentral is "bacterial SSU rRNA". It matches the Rfam family "Bacterial small subunit ribosomal RNA", at positions 29 to 506 of the family's 1533-position model. The record is from RNAcentral.